AAAAUAUUUACUCUCUCAUUUCUUCCAGAUACACCCUAUCUUCCUAUUGCCCCGACUUCAUGUUUUAUUGAUUUAUUUUAUUAAUAACCCAUGAGUCCCGUUUGUGUUGCCAUAUACUCCUAGGUGUGCAGGCAUCCCUGAAGCAUGGUUGACCAACCAGGGGCUGUACCCUUAAGGAACCUGAUUCUCCCUCAUCCAGAAGUCAUCAACUGUCUAUGGCUCCCCAAAUAGGGAUGGGCGCUUGCAGACUCCUUCCCCUCACAUGCUAGAAUGAUGGUUGGCUUGUUUAUCAUAUAGGUUUAAACUCUACACAAGAUGGAUUCUCCAGGACUCCUGCAGGCUCCUACAUUCUGGGUACAGACGUGUGUUCUUAUCUACUGGGAUGGGUGGUUGACUUCAGGGGGUUGGGGCUCACAGUUGUCACUGGCAUGGAAUGGUAUGAAUGCUGUACCCUGGAAGAGUAAUGGUUCUGUUACCGUUUGCUUCAUGCAGGGCCGUGGGUAGCAUUGCUGGGUGUUCUCAUCUGUCUGUAGUAAUACUAGCAUGAAGUAACCUUGACAUAUGAGACGCUUGCCCAAGCAGCACCCAUUCUUGCAGAAGUACAGAGGGAGAAGUGCCAGUCUUGGGCCAGGGUGAAGUGUGUAGUUACUGAAAACCUAAUGGUUACUUUCUUUUGUAAUUAAAACUUCAAACUGCCUUCUUCAAACUGCCCUCCAGGUAAGGGGAAUGGAUUCCCCUGUGUCCAAGGGAGAUGAACCUUUCACAAUCUACGACCUGUAGACAAACCGAACAUGGGAAGAAUAUCAUAGUGGGCUGCUUCUUGCUCUAUCCUGGUGCCCUGUGGUGGAUGGGGGACAGCCUGAAGGUGCUGGGUCUCUGGGGACAGACAUUCACAUUGCUGCAUUGCUGAGAAGAUGCCUUGGUCUGGAAGAGCAUCCCAACUGGACAGGCUCUGCUAAGAGCGCUGUGUGGUUUCUAGCCUGCAGGAGGUACGGGUGGCAAACAUUUUUUGUGCCUUGAAUCUGGGUACAUGAAGCAUCUGCUGCGAGCCAGGUAUUUGAGAGGACUCUUGUUUCUAAUGCACCCCGGAUGUUUGUCCUGACUGAAAGCACAGCAGCUUUGUCUGCACCCCUUCCAAGUGUGCAAAGCCAGGUUCUCCACGAUCAGGUGCUCAUUCUGCUGUUUCCCAUUUUCUGCAGAGUCUCCAGUUUGCCUUGGUCCCCCACUGUUCCUCUUUCAUCAGAAUGACCAAAGCCUGGUCCUUACCACUGCACACUCUAGUUGCUCUAAUUAAACAUUCGAGACCCACCAGGGCAACUCCCUUGCAAUCCUUGCCAUCUUCCAGCUCAUUCUGUUCUUGUCUCUUGGUGGGAAUGCACAGAGACAAUUCAGGGAGGGGAGAGGUCACAGUGACAUUAAGUUGAACUGGGAUAGAUUGGGUUCAGACCUCCUUGAGUACCAGGAACCCUCACCUCAGGAGUCCUUACCUGAUUUCUGCACGGUGCCAAUAGAUGGACUGGAUCAAUGCUCUCCUAGUGACAUGAGUGACCCUCGCUCUGGAACUCAUGGGAAAUGCUAGUUCUGAGUAGGCACCAGAGCACACAGUAGCUGUGUCUUAGCAUGCCUGGGGAAGUGAGAGAGUUCCCAAAGUUCGAGGCCUGGUUAAAAUGAAUGCAAAGCCUCCUUUGAAAGGGACAGCUUAUGCCUAUUGCCUUGACUUGUGGGAUGGCCAAUAGGCAAGGGGGGCGGGGCUUACCCAGAGGAAACAAAACACACAGUCACCCUGGAAGCCGCUUCCAGGCUUCACAGAGUAUGGCAUUACUUGGAUUGUGUUCCACAUUAUUCCCCCACCCCCAACCUCCAGCAAAAGCUGACAGGAGACCCGUGGGAAGGCCCUGAUGUCCCUGAAGAGCUGUUCUUGUCCUGAACAGUCCUUGAAAAGGCUUCCUAAGGCAGCACCUGGAGAGCAGGGCAGACGGCAGCUUUGAGCCCGUCAGAGCAGAUACAGUUUCUCCAUUCGUUCCUGGCACAAUUGGAUUUUCCUUGCUACAUCAAGGCACGUGAAGAUCGCUGGUACUUAGGAAGUGGGACCUCCAACCCAGGAGAAGAUUCUAGAAAGUGUGGCAUAGGCUGAGGAUUUCUCUAUAUAGCCCUGGCUGUCCUGGAACAGGCUGUGGAGACCUGCGGAGACCAUCUUGGCCUUGAACUCAGAGACCACUGCCACACACUACCACAAAAACAUACAUCUUUCACAAAAGGUUUGUGUGCAGAAGGUUUGGUCUCCAGGUGAGUUAUGACUGGAGCACAGUAACAUCUACUCCAUCAACUGAUUACAUCACUGGUGAGCUCUUAGCAAGUGGACAUAAUGUCUGGUUGGAGGAAGUGUUCACCAGAAGUCACCUUUCUACCCAUGCACAGUACUACCCUGCAAACUCUUUUUUGAUGUUGUUAUUAAUUAUUAUUAUUAUUAUAUUUUUAAUUAGCUUGUAAAAUGGCAUAUUUUCUACUGCCCUCUUUUCCCUGAUAAAGGAAGCAGAUGUGCCUCUGAAAGGUGUACAUUGGUUCUGGCUUCUCUCUGUCUGGGUCUCUGUCUGUCUGUCUGUCUUGGACAUGUGAAGAGCUUCUUUGUCCCAGUAAUAUUCCCAUGACUAUGGUGUGCUGCCUUGCUACAGGCCUCCAGUGGUAGAACAAAGAAACCAUGGAUUUAUACGAUGGAAAUUGUGAGCCAUAAGAAACCUUCCUUCUUUUUAAGUUGAUUUCUCAGGCAUUUUGUCAUAGUGAUGGAAGUCUGGUUAACUCAGCUGACAAACAUGUUCUGAAAAGUCAUAUGCAGCCCACUAUUUUGCAAGCAAAUUAAAAAUAUAACAACAACAACAACAACAACAACAACAACAACAUUAACGACAGAAGAGUUUUUAGGGACGUACUCUGCAGGAGUAGAUGCUGUUGCUCCCAGAAGCCACCAGUUAUUAAACAAAAUUCAUAGCUUUGGCAUGAUAAUGCUUUAUGAAAUUGUUGAUCAGGGAGGCCCUCAAGGCCCACAAUACAGUCUCUUGGUAAUGCCCUAUGUUGCCCACUGGCAUUAGAUAAGGAGAUCUUAUUGCUGACGUUAACAUAUGCUCUAUUCAGGAUAGAGAAACAUCAAGCAGAAGCUGAACUAGAAACUCCCUCCUUUCUGGUUAGCUUUCAUGACACCAGAAGGUGUGAUGUAGGCUGCAGAGUAAGAAAAGCUGUCAGCCUCUCUCUCCGCUGUCAUCCCUAGGAGCUACAAUACCAUCCCACCAGGCAGGAUGUGCCCACUUGUAUGCUAGUAUCAUGCACACACUCCUUCCUCCCCUCAAAUGUGAUAUUCACAACUGGUCUUUUAAUUCUGUAAUCUAAAUACUCAGUAUGGGACCUCCAGGCUGAUGGAUGUGAGCCUAUUUCUCCCUCAGUUGUUUGGACUUAGCUUGUUUAUAUUUGAUCUUGGCUUUGCCUUUUUAACUGCAUUAUGCAAUUACAUCCUGUCUACUCUAUCUUCUCCAUUGUUAACUGUUCAUACUUGGGUUGUGGUGUAUUUCAAAUUCAAGUGGCAUUCCUGGCUAUAUUUAAAACACACAAUAUGUUAUUUAGGAGGAACAGAGACAAAAGAGUAGAUAUUUUAUUUAUCCUUCUAAUUUAAAUUUUUAUUGUUUUGAGAAUUUCAUACAUGAGAACAAUAUUUAUAUCAUUGUAUCCUUACUUCGCUCACAUCAGCAAAGGUCACUGGAAGCAUCAAUUACUUAUGAUUGUCCCUACGCUUCCACUUCCUCUCCUUCUGUCACUUUUCUUCUAUAAUAUAAUGGGGAGCCCAGACUGUGGGGUUCCAGGUUCACCCAUAAUCAGCUACUUCCAGUUUUCAUCACGGCUUCCCCUUAAGGAUCCCAACUCAAUUCCCUGCCUUACUGUUCGGUGCUUCACCAGAAAUGGAUGCCCAGCCCCACAAAAGGAGGUCACCACUGUGUAUGUCAUGGGGAGGCAGAGCUAUUUUGUAGACUCAUAACUCUUAGUGAGAAAGAAAAAUCAGGUCAUCUUGCUCUUUAAAGACUGCUGAUCUGGAUGCAAAAUUCAGAUGUCAAAGAAUCAAUUCAAUGACUUCAAGGAGAUGCCAAUAAAGCUUAACUUAGGAUAAGAUUCCUCCAGCCAAAACAGCAGCGUCCCAGAAGCAUCCCCUGACAAGGAUCCAGACCAUCAGCAGUGGUCGAAGCAGGGAGAAGUACACUGGAUGGGACAGUCAUUAGGAGAGCGGGCACUUGUAGAAGUGACAUGAACAGAGGGACAGCACUGGGGAACACAUAAGGACAUGGAGUGAAGCCCCGAGAAGCAGGGCAGAGGUGGAGGAAGCUGAAUGAGUAGAGGUGAAGUGAGCUGGUUGACCCUUGAGUGGUAGAGGAGAUAGACUUGGGUGGGACUUUCAGGUACAGAGAAAUGCCAUGGUGAGGGGUAGCGGAUUGGGAACAUGAUGAGCACAUUUGGAGAUUAGGAUUUCAGGUUCAAAGUCACUUUACCUUGGGAGUCUGUUUUUUAAUAUGGCCACAGAUGACUUAAUGAUAAGGACCCCUGUGAAGUGAGUCAUCAGGCAGUUUCUGUCACCCGGCAGAUUUCACAGAACAUACUCCAGUACAGACAGAACAGCACUGCUUGGCUUGUCUUCUUGGCCUCAUACCUUGCUGGGAGGCUGCACACUGGGGUAUUGUGGGAUUUAGCAAUGGCUGAACAAGGUUUAUUUAUUUUUUGAAAAAUGAGCCUUGUUGAAACAAAAAUCUGCUUUUAAUUAUAGCUCAUUUGACCGCAGUCCUGUGGAGUAGGACUCUGGGCAGUGGGUGCUGAGCUGUGUCGAGUGUUAGGAGAGCUGGGUUCUAGGUCUGUGGGAUGCUGACCCCUGACCAACCAUUAUUUCCUCUCUGCAGCCUCAAUUUUCUUGUCUGGAUGUGCAUGGGUUUGGAUCACCCCCUGGGUGCUCUGUAGCCCUUGUUCUUUCCCAUGAUGGGAUUCUAGCAGGUUCUACUUCAUCAAUCUUCUGCUGCCCUGGAAAGCCAGUGGUGGCUGAGAAAAAUCUUUCUGUCUUUGCUUCUUUUCUAUGCUUAGAACACCCUUCACUCCUUGUCUUCUUGGAGUCUGCUUCUUCACCCAGAAGGACUGAACUUCAGAGCUCCUGGAAGGCUACACCUUCUGAGAUCCUCUAUGACCUGGGCACAGUAGGAUGGAGGGGUGACAUCCAGAAGAGAUACUUCUAAGGGGCCGAGGAGGAUUCUCAAAGCAAGUCUCAUCUUCUCUCAGCAAGGAGAAAAACAAGGAAACAAAAGAGCUGGGGGAUUGGCUACUCAAUUCUCAAUUUUGAGGAAAAUCUAAAGGAAGUCACAGGACCAUGGUCAAUGGCACUGUGUAGGGUCUCAGGAGGGCCUGGCCUCUCUGACUUCCUAUCCAGCAGCCUUUCUGCUCUGGGCUUUGAUCUUCCACCACAACUGGAGUCUGCCUGGAUCUUCACACUCUUCCCCAGGGCUGCCAUGCUAGGAACAUCUCUAGGAAAGACCGGCACAUGCAGUGUGUGACAAGCUGUGCGAUGCCACUUCACUGAGAUCAAUGCUGAGGAAAGAACAGUUUGUACCUUGUGAAGUUAGAAAACCAUCAGACAGAUGACUGUCCUCAGGCAGAGGACAAUUACCUAAAGCUGGCUGGCAGGAGUCCUGCACUACGGAAUGAAGAUCCCGUGCAAAAGAAAUGCUGGGGCUCGAGAACAAUGAAUGGACAGAGGAGGGUGGUUCCUGGGAUCUCUCUUCUAUCCAUUUGUUCCAAGGGCACCUGAGUUCUCAGAGUUCUCUAAGUUCUAAUGUGGCAAGGGUGUGUCCAACCUUGUUGAUUGUUUUUAGAAAAGGCACAAAGAGUCAUUUGUACUUUGGUCUUUGGGUCAGGAGUCUUCAGGUCCAACAUUUUGUUAGGUCUGAUAGACUUCUAGGACUGGCUGGGCUCAGAAGCAAUUAUACACUAUUAUUAUUAUAGGAAGAAAGGGUGUGAGAAACUAUGAAGAAUUAGGCAUAGAUAUUUAAUUCCCCAGUAACACUGGGGAAUGUAAGGCAUGCAUGUAAGGCAUGACUGAGCAGAUGUUUCUAUAAGUAUUAGUGCCCAUGUAAUGCCUGUGUGACUAACACCAGCCUCUUAAAGCUGGAUUCUUGCUGAUUGAAUUGGUACAACAUUGACUGAGACUCAAGGGCUCAAACAAGCCAAUAUGUGUUUACAAGGUAGAACUUUCUAAGGAUGUAGUUCUCCCAGGGGAUGGCCAUUGGUCAGUCCUGGUUCCAGAGGUUUACCAGGAAUGUCUAGGGUUUGAGUAACCCAGAUCUGUUGACUGAAGUUCCCAUCCAUUUUUCCUUUGUAUUUUAGGAUUAAUUUGUCACAUUCCACAAAAUACCCUUGUUGGAAUUCAUAUGUUGAAUAUAGAAAAAUAAUCAGGAUGAAAUGCUUUUCUUUUUGAUAAUGAUUUUUUUCGUGUUAUUUUCUAUUUGUAAAGUGCUUUAUAUCCUGUAGAAUGUUUACAAAUGCUUUAAUAAAGUCUUAUCCAUCUUCUCUUUGAUUAUUUCCGCACAUUUGUUAAACUUGGUCCACAAACAUUUUGGCUGUCAUUGUAUUCUCUAGUCCACAGCAGAGGGUAUAGGGGACUAUUAUUAUUUUUUGUAUAUUGGACUUGUAGCCAACAACCCUCUUGGUCUUCCUUUACAGCUUUAUUGUCUAUAAAUUCUUCCUGGAAAUUUCUUUAGAAAAUGUAUUGGUUUCAUAUGGCAACAGUAAGAAAAUACUAUAUAUUUAGUGGCUUAAAAGGACAUAAGUCUCCUCUCUUAUGGUUUUGGAGGCUGUAUCAAAUUGUUCUCACUGGGCUGCAUGCAUAGCAGGGCUCUUAGAGAAUCUGUAAUCUGUGUACUUGUCUAGCUUAUAAAAACUACCAGAAUUCUUUGGCUCUUGAUCCCUGGCUCAUAUCACUCCAGCUUCUUGUUCUUUUGGUUUCAUAGCCCUCUUGUCAGUGCCCAUGAUUACAAUGGGUCAGAUCAAGCCUAUGAUAACUCAGACUAAUGGUUCAAAGUGGAAACUCUUGACUUUAUCAAAGUGGCAGCAUGAUUAACUGGCAAAGUAAUUAUCAUGGACUUUGGGAAUUAGGGUAUGGAUAUCUUGGGUAACCAUUUUUCAUUACACAAUCACAUUGUUUAUAAAAAAAGGUGUUUUCACUUUUAAAUUCAUAUACCUUUUAUUUCUUGUCUGGAUUGUUAGGAUUAUUAAAGACUCUCAAUACAUAUCCAGUAGACACUGACUUAGUAAGCCUUUAUUCUGACUUCCAUGGUAGUAUUUGUAAUAUUUCUCCAUCAUAUUUCUGUUUGCUGUGGUGUUGGCUGGUAUUAAAUCAGUGUUACAAGAUGUGUUGUUACGACUUCACGAUGCCGAUUUUGUGGUGUUUAUGUUCUCUGAGUAGCUUCAGACUUGUUUAAUCACCCACUGCUGCUUAAUAGCUUAAAUGCUGGUGUGGGCACCCUCACCUUACACGCUCAUCUGCUGAGGUUGGCCUGGCUAGCUAAUCUGGGCUGGGGCCACUCCUACCAUUUAGUUGCUCCAUUGAUAAUACGGAAUGGUUCAGUCUGAUGUCAGCUGCAUUUCUGCCUGUGAGCUGCUCUCCCUUGUCCUCCAUGUAGCCUCUUGGGGAGGAUGGCUCACAUUUCCAACAUUAAGGCAGUGUGUUACAAGACAGAAAACCUGUAACAGCCUCUCUGUAGCUUUCAUUAUAUCUACUGAUGUCUUUUGGGCCAAAGCAAGACACAAGACCACCCUGAGCUAAUCUGGAAGGGUUGCAUAGGAUUGUUAGAUUUCAACAAUGGCUAAGAGUACCUCCUAUGUGGGCUUUGGUGUCUGCCUUGCCAUGCAUAUUACCUUCAAAUCGCUGCCUUCCCACACCUUUUCACCGUACAGCCCCUUCGCUGGUGGACGUAGAAGGAAUGUGGUGAAACACCUAGUUUUCAGAGUUAGCUCUGGGGAGAAAUCUCAAUAUUGGUUCUCAAAUAUGGCCACAAGCCUCUAUCCCAAACACAAUGCCAUUUUAGUUUUAGUAUUGUUCAUGAUAACCGUUUUCAGGCAAAGGAGAGCUUUGCAGACCCUUCUGUCUUGGUUCCCUCUAGCCUCCUUUUCACCACUCUCUACUUCACCAAACAGACAGGUGAUCUUUUCUUUAUUAUUGUUUCCAAAUUGAAAGUGUGUAAUAUCAUUCUGUCCUUUGCUCUGUUUUAGUUUCUCCCUCUCUCCUACCCUUCCUGACUCCCUCCUUGCAGCUCUGCCCUUUGUAAUUUUUAGCAUUCUUAUUAUAGGCUAAGAUUAUAAAGAAGGGAUGCUUAUAUAUCCUUCAUUCUCAAGUGUGGUUGAGUUUAUGUGCUAUUCAGGAAGCCCUGGGUACUUUAGUGAUGAACAGAGCAGAGGACACUUAUGAGCAACUGUGGAGUAGUUAAAAUGAUGGAUAGAGAAAUAUGGGGUAGUGUUCAGCCUCUGGUCAGGUCACUGAGGAGAAAGAAAGGAGUAAUUAAAGUGGCUGGAUAAUGUGUCUCACUGAGAAAAAGCCUCUGCAGGCUCUGAGCAGUCAGCAGGGAUGGGGCUGAGGGAAGGGAAGAGGUGAUCUGGAGAUGGCUCAUUAGCAUGGAAAUGAAAGAAGAGGUGAGACACUGAAUAUCAACAGAAGGAGGGAUCAGGUCAAGUGCAGCCAGAGAAGGUCCCACUAUCCAGGGAGUAAUUUGCACUUCUUAGGCUCCAAUUUCAGGGCAGAAUGGGAAUCCCUCCUCUACUGACUCCUCUGUUGCUAGUGAUAAUUUCUCUACCAUCAUUCUGAACAUUGAGAAUAGAAAAUGACUAUCAUAUUUGGAAUUAGCUGUUCCUUCCCCAAAAUAUCUGGAUGAGUCACAGGGAACUUUCCCCUCAGCCUAUUAGGUCAGACAGGACUCUCUCUCACUGUCAGAGAUGGGUGUGGUCCCUGCUUGU
This 9021-nucleotide small RNA is filed under the name Rattus norvegicus (Norway rat). Its description in RNAcentral is "uncharacterized LOC102550954". Lineage: Eukaryota; Metazoa; Chordata; Mammalia; Rodentia; Muridae. The record is from RNAcentral.